GGGGUUGUAACUCAGCUCGGAAGAGUGGCCGACUCCAGAUCGGAAGGUCGGAGGUUCAAAUCCUCCCAACCCCACCA
Molecule: transfer RNA, 77 nt
Filed under: Candidatus Freyrarchaeum guaymasense
Lineage: Archaea; Promethearchaeati; Candidatus Freyarchaeota; Candidatus Freyrarchaeia; Candidatus Freyrarchaeales; Candidatus Freyrarchaeaceae
Description: tRNA-Trp
Rfam family: tRNA
About the family: Transfer RNA (tRNA) molecules are approximately 80 nucleotides in length. Their secondary structure includes four short double-helical elements and three loops (D, anti-codon, and T loops). Further hydrogen bonds mediate the characteristic L-shaped molecular structure. tRNAs have two regions of fundamental functional importance: the anti-codon, which is responsible for specific mRNA codon recognition, and the 3' end, to which the tRNAs corresponding amino acid is attached (by aminoacyl-tRNA synthetases). tRNAs cope with the degeneracy of the genetic code in two manners: having more than one tRNA (with a specific anti-codon) for a particular amino acid; and 'wobble' base-pairing, i.e. permitting non-standard base-pairing at the 3rd anti-codon position.
Source: RNAcentral